ACUGAGGCGGCCAUACCGCCAGAUGGCCCAGCAGAGAACCAAGACACGGUCACCAGGUCAGGUCGACAAGUUGUCAGACCCCGCUACCUGACAGACUAUACUCAGUGAUUAGGGUAUGGACUAUGAAAAAAAA
Amblyraja radiata (thorny skate) is the source of this 133-nucleotide long non-coding RNA. RefSeq lists it as uncharacterized. The transcript has 2 exons. The record is from RefSeq and is a predicted model, not a curated record. Lineage: Eukaryota; Metazoa; Chordata; Chondrichthyes; Rajiformes; Rajidae.